RNAcentral lists this transfer RNA (72 nucleotides) under Camelus bactrianus (Bactrian camel). It matches the Rfam family "tRNA". Rfam says of the family: Transfer RNA (tRNA) molecules are approximately 80 nucleotides in length. Their secondary structure includes four short double-helical elements and three loops (D, anti-codon, and T loops). Further hydrogen bonds mediate the characteristic L-shaped molecular structure. tRNAs have two regions of fundamental functional importance: the anti-codon, which is responsible for specific mRNA codon recognition, and the 3' end, to which the tRNAs corresponding amino acid is attached (by aminoacyl-tRNA synthetases). tRNAs cope with the degeneracy of the genetic code in two manners: having more than one tRNA (with a specific anti-codon) for a particular amino acid; and 'wobble' base-pairing, i.e. permitting non-standard base-pairing at the 3rd anti-codon position. The record is from Rfam by way of RNAcentral. RNAcentral also lists the same sequence under 2 other names. Lineage: Eukaryota; Metazoa; Chordata; Mammalia; Artiodactyla; Camelidae.
GAGGGUAUAACUCAGCAGCAGAGUGAGUGCUUAGCAUACAGGAGGUCCUGGGUACAAUCCCCAGUACCUCCA